This 253-nucleotide ribosomal RNA is filed under the name uncultured bacterium. RNAcentral's name for it is "partial 16S ribosomal RNA". It matches the Rfam family "Bacterial small subunit ribosomal RNA", at positions 524 to 776 of the family's 1533-position model. The record is from RNAcentral.
UACAGAGGGUGCGAGCGUUAUUCGGAAUUACUGGGCGUAAAGCGUGCGUAGACGGUUAUUUAAGUCGGGCGUGAAAGCCCCGGGCUCAACCUGGGAAUUGCAUUCGAGACUGAAUAGCUAGGGUACGGUAGAGGGAAGUGGAAUUUCCGGUGUAGCGGUGAAAUGCGUAGAUAUCGGAAGGAACAUCAGUGGCGAAAGCGACUUCCUGGACCAGUACCGACGUUCAGGCACGAAAGCGUGGGGAGCAAACAGG